Molecule: unclassified non-coding RNA, 301 nt
Filed under: Hevea brasiliensis (rubber tree)
Lineage: Eukaryota; Viridiplantae; Streptophyta; Magnoliopsida; Malpighiales; Euphorbiaceae
Source: RNAcentral
CAGGAAGGAGCUUCUCAGCAAGAGAGUCAUCUAGCUCUGGUAAAUCUCUGUAGAAAAGCUCUUUACACUCAACGACAAACUGAGCACGGACACCUCGGAGAUUUUCCUGUUCCCAUGUCUCCGGGAUUUGAAGUGGAAAUGACUUUGUUUCACCUUGUUGAAUUCCUUGUAUUGAGUCAAGGAACCCGGGAAGGAGGUUAUCACUUUCUUCUGUGUCCAGGUUAAAACCUUUUCUUUCUGUAAAUGGAAUCUUUUCACUCUUAGAUUCAUCAUCUGCAAUUGUCUUUCCAAAUAUAUCCAG